GCGCAGAAGGAGGCUGCAGAAGGAAGGAGAGGAGAGGAGAAGAUUAACGGGGCUGAGAAAACGGGACGGGCAGCGAUCGCCUCGAGAGGCUCCAUCGAGUCCAGCCUCACACACAAACACGCACGCAUACACCCCCCCACACACUUUGCUGUGGAGCGUGCACGUGUGUGGGCACUCACCACAAGUGCAUGUGUGAGUGUGAGGAUUCAGCCAGUUGGACAGACGCAGCGGCGGCUCGGAGGUCCUUGUGGAUGCGGCGCGUCAGGUAGACCAUGCCCUUCACUUGUGCCUGCUUCUGUGGUCUGAAUGGCUUCUGUCGAAAGAAGAAAAAACGGGACCAAGUGUCAGAAGAGGAGAUUGAUGAAGACGGGCAUCACUGGGAUGAGGAAACGGUGGUGUGACAGCAGCGCUGUUGGCUGAACUCUCUCCAACUUUAAAACACUGUAACAUAAGACCAAGGUUACAGGUUCUCUCCGUAUCAGGUGUCUGGGAAUGUUUCCAUAGUGGAAGUGAAGGGGUUUCAGGUUUCAAAUACAUAUUUUUAUUCAGGUGUUUCAUGGAAAAGAUUUCGUGUUCUACUUCUUUUUCUACUCUUACAAACCAAAAGGCCAUCCAAAUUUUUUCUCAUGAUAAGACUGAUGAAAAUGAAAGCCUCUGAACUCUUUGCUCAUCCUCCAUUCCCCAAACCUGCUAUGCUCUAAUUUUCCCUGGGCAGCUGACAGAGAACUUGCCUUUUGCUGAUAAUAUUCAAAAGAUAAAAAAGAAAAAAAAAAAAGGUCUGAUUCAUUUCUUGCCAGUGUGCGAAGAGACAAAGGUCUCUUAAAAUCCAUUAUUCUGUUCAGGCAUACCUCUCCUCAAUGCCCCGUCUUUCCCAUCUCUACCUUAAUUGUGCCUCCUCUGCGGAGGCUGGAUUGGAACCGAAGCUCCGUGGAGCUCUGCACCUUCUCACCUGCUUACUUACGUCGGAUCGACUUAGCGAAAACUUCAGCCAAGUAAGAAAGUGUAGAGCAAUUUCCAGAGUCGCCCGCUGAGGGGCCCCGAGCCCAUCUCGGAUUUUCACGCUGAGCUGACCCCGAUCUAAAGCCAAAGCAGCUGUCCAAUCAGUGGCUUAGCUGGAGUGUGAAGAAGGGAGUCAAGGGUCAGAAUGAGAAACGGGGGCUUGGGGAACGUCACUCCCCUGGUGCUGCCGCUUCUCUAAUAUCCGGACGAGUAAUUACCGAGAGGAACACCCACAAAUGCUGAUGCUUCAAUUAAUGUACGUCCCUGUGGGAGUUGAGUCUCUCCCCGCAAAUGCCACCACAAUGCACUUCCAGCUGUCACCUGUUAGAGGGCAGGGCGACGCAAGCAUGCUAGGGUGCUCAUGUUUUUUCUUGGCUGCCACAAUGGUGCUUUCAAAGUAGAAACAAGUGGUUGACAUAUCUUCUGCCGCCAUGCCGCAGGCUUUCCCGGGCGCAUCCGGACGCCCAAAGACAAAAGGCCAGCGCACUGGUCUCAUUAGCAUGCGUGAUUAUGCAUUGCACGUCCAGUCAGGCGGUGGAGAUGUAAUUAACCUUUUCCAGCAGGAAACAGAUGCCUGGAUGUCACACACACACACACACCCCAACACACACGUCUGCUGUCAGGGAAACAAAGCCGACGUCACGGUGUCACGGAAACAAAGCCCCGAAUGCGCCGCCUGGCACUUUCUGAUAAUCCCCUCACGCAUAUUUACAUUCAUGGCUUAGAAUACGCCUCGGUGACACCGCCUCCGCCCUCUUACCCCCUUUCCUCUGUUGACAGCCACCGACCCAAGUCACACCUUUUCCGUUCUUUUCGCCUCAACCGGCCCCUAGUAGUCUCAUCCCUGCUAUCUUCCUCUUUUUCAUCAUCUCUCCUUAAACUUUCUCCUUGGUCGAAUUCAUCCAUUUAUUAUCAGUGGAUGGUACAUGGCCGUGCAUGGCAGCUCCCAUAGAUUAGCCCCCACUCUUGCAUUCCCAUAUCAGGGAUUUCUUCAGGCGGGUAAGAAAGUGAAGAAAGAAGCUGCUUUACGACAGAUUAAUGGACGGCCCUGAUUGCGCCUGUUGGUGUGGCUCUGCGCCUGAGCUGAAUCGACUGUUUACUCGUUCUCCCGCCGCUACGAGCGGCGAAAUGAAACAAAGCAAAAGCCAUUUCACAGUGUAGAGCACCUAUUAUGAUUCAGUGUGUUACGGCGCAGCCCUAAUGAGAAAGAGAGAAAACGAGAGGAGGAGCAGGAGGAGAGGAAGAGACGAUAAUGAAAGUGAGUUGGGAGGGGAGGCAAACGCUAGACAGAGCAGUCAUGCUAAUUGGCUACAGUGGAUAACUUUCUUCGGCGAAAACGAAGGUGUGUGGUUAAAAGAAAGGCCUUAUCUGUCUACAUUGCUCUCAUUUAACGAUCCCUCCAUUUCACCUCUUUUAAUGAGAGGAAUAUUCACCGAGGUAAUGGCACAGAACUCGGAGUUGACGGCAAUUUGUUGCUCACGCACGCCACGCUCCGAGACGGGGUCUGAGGCGAGGCGCUCUCCUUGCCCCAGCCUCCUGCUAUGGAUCAUGACAAUUUUCAGGGAUUGUAACUCAAGGACAAACAGCUAAAAAUAGAAGGGUGGUGCACGACUCCUGCGGUAGCAGCGAAGGGAGGAGGUGAGUACAGGGAAGGACGGGGGAGGGGGGAGUGCGAAAACGACUCCUGUCGCAUUAGAUUUGGGUCAGAGGCGAGGGAAAAGCCGGCGAAGCGGAGAGCGUUCCAGACGGCUGGGAGAUUCAUCGCCCGCCGCUCUGUGCUCCUCUCCUCUUUUAACACCUCGCCUUUAUCCUGCACAGACAGCGGCGGAGGGCUGGGACGCCGGGCGAGUUUCACGGAAUGGACGGGGAAGGCAUUGCAAAACAUUUGGAAGAACAACAAUAAAAAGAUACAAGGAUUAGUACCAGGUUAGACAAGGAGGAUAGAAAGGUUAGUGUGUUGUAAGGUGCACCUUGCUUGGAUCAUACCAUUCAAUUUAUGGCCUCCUGUUGCAUUAUUCACAUGAUCCCAGGUCCUGGAAAAAAUACAAUAAAACACACCAUGUUAAAAAACAAAAACAAAAUUCCAUCUACGUGGAGCAGACACAAUGUGUCAUCACAGUUUAUUAUGUAAAUAGGACAAACACAGCUAAAGAAAAACUCUAGUUGUCCACUACUUUGGAAAUGGCUUGGAAACGGGGUACAAUGACAGACUGUUUGGGGCCCCAUAAUGGCAGAGUGACAUUUGACCAGCUCUGUUGGAGGCAGAUCAUGUAUAGAUGGCAAUUGGGAGAUAUUUGGUGGAGAAAAAGCUGAAAACACAAAUGUUAUCCAGGUUCCAACAUUUAAGCCCCUUUUGCACUGCCCAGCCAGACCCGGGCUGAUCUGGGCCGGUCUGGCUUAAAAGCAGGGCUGAUCGUUUUUGCAUUAGCACUUCCAGUCCCACCCGGCUCCCUGGAACCCGUAGAGCUGCGGUUGAAAUCGGGCCGGCCAGACCGGGCUGGUUUGGAGUUAGCUGUUGAUCGGUUCAUUGGCUGCGCGGGCGGGACAAAGAUCAGAUUUCUGGGUCAGAGGAGCACUAGACUUUCUCGAUGUCUGUCAUUUCAAUGUGCUGCAUCAAUAAAUUCCCGUCAUAAUCUAUUCUUACCCCUCACUGGGAUUACAAUCACCUCUUCAGCCAAAGAUUUGAAUGUUAAAUGUAAACAACACUUCUCCAAUUGAACUGAUCAGAAGUUGGUAAGGCUGUGGACGAGGGGAUUUCCACGUCUGGGUUGCUCUAGCGGGGAAAUCCGACCAGUUCUGCUGGCCACAAGUCCAGCUCUGAGACGACAUUCAGAUGAUAUUUUUAUUUUAUUUUUUUCGUUAAAUGUAAAGCUCAGGUAAAUGUUUCCGUCAGCUUCCUCGCUCAUGAACGCAUUCAGAAAGAGCGGGACGGGAGAACCAAGAAGGAAACUUGAUAGCCUCGGUAGCUUUAGCAAGAAUUUGAUUUACGUGACGUAUCCAGCUCAAUGCGAAACCACCAGAGCUAUGCUGUUCGAACGGAGCCGACCUGGGCUAAAAGGGCUUUAGUAAUCUGUGGAAAAGCUCAAGAAUUUGUUGGAACCCUAUGUUAAGCAAAACAUAGUCCCACAUGUGGUUGGGGACUGUAUGGCAAAAAGGAUCUUUUUGUGGUUUUGCCCACAGGUUCCAUAAGAUCUUGGUGGUUUUUACUCACUGGUGUGUGACACAGGGCAGGUAUGAGUGCUAAUAAGGUCCAUCUUCAUAAAAUGGGUUUCCUGCCCAUUUGGUUUUCAUGUAUAAUUCUGGACAGAUAGUCGGUCUCAACUGGAAACAAGAUGCACACAAUUUAUCUGGGUCCCAUUUUUAACUCAUGGGUUGAAAAAAAAAUUGUGUAUCUUCAACUUUAAUAACUUGCUUUUCAUCUUCUAUGUCUCACACAAUGAGAUAAAAAAGUAAAUACCAAAACUGUUAAUGAUAGUGCCUUAGCUGAUAGGAAUCAAAUUGCUUAAAUGGAUAAUUCAGGACCAGUAAUAGUGAACAAACACCAUUCAUUUACCUACAGGAGCUAACUUUCUUAGCAGUUUUUUUCCCCUAAGGCUAAUGUUUAGAAAAACCUCAACCAACUAUUGUGACUAUUCCUUUAAUAAAACACUUAUCUAAAUUGCCAGACUGCAAUGCAAAACUCAGAUGGUUAGAUUGCCUUGUUGACUGAAAACCAACUGUUAAAAUGGAUUGCUAUGUUUUCUUUUUAACUGGGGAUGUGAGCAGUUCAUAUGGUGGAAACGAUUUUCUUAACUUCCUGUUUUAGAAAUGCACUGUUUUUCUGAGGAUUAUGAAAAUAAAAUAAUGACAUGCCAAGACCAAAGCAAGUGGCUGCGUUUCAUGUAAACAUUACUUAUAAAGCUCCAAAAUGCUGUCACAUUAGCCAGUAAUGUACCUUUACGCCUUUGGUCAUUUAACCUAAGACUGCAGUUAUGAACGGGCCACUACAGUGUCCCUCCAACAGGAAACAUAUGAGGCGCAUUUGACAAGAGAUGCUAGCUGCGUUUCGAAAACAAAUGAGCGCAAAACGUUUCCCAUAAUUCUAAUAUUUACAAAAAUACAUAAUUUUGCUUUUGUAGUGUUUCCAUUAACUAAGAAAAGCAUUUAGCAUAGCAAAAUGUAUGAGUUUGUUUGCGUGACAAGUCAUUGAAAACUAUAUUUAUAUUUCACCUCAUCCUAGCACAAAAAGCUUUCUAUUGAUCAACGUUUCCAUUAAGCAAAUUUGUUUUCAGAAUUCCAAUUUGUGCAAUUUCAUGGUCAAUGGAAAUGCAGGUACUAUAGGGCAGAAGGUGAUGUGUAAAACUUCUACAAAAUGCAUUAGCUUAAACUGAUAGUUUGAGAUUUCGUUAAAACGACAUCAGAUAAUUCUCUUGCCACUUGUGCUUUCAAUAGGCUGUUCUGCAAUACCUUUUUUACAGACCAGUCUCGUCUUCUGUUUUUUAAUUCACUGCCAAUUUCUAAAGAAAUGUCUUCCAAUGUAAACAUUAUUAUUAUUAUAAUGCAAACAUGACUCAUUCACGGUUCCACAAUUUUUAAUUAGGAAGUAUUUCUCGACUUUGAAUCCUAGAACCAAAGAAGAAAAAAAAAGUACUGCAAGAUCCAUACAUUCCAUUUAAUCAUUUUCACUAGAUGUUCAAAGUUUUACUUAUAUUGUGUCCCUUUUAAGGAAACCUAAGAACUGAUGAAUACCUGAAUAUUUAAUAGAAUGAUCCAGUAAAAUCGUGAAAGCAGUCAGAUUUGAAAAUAUUGGCUUAAAUGUUUAAUGUCCAAUAUUUUUUUAAAUCUCCUUUGAUGGCCCAAAUUAAUUCUCUGUGAAGUUAAAUAAGCCAGAAAUAAAUGAACAUUUUAGGUUAUAGUUGGAAGUGACAGGGCUGGCCUUUUGGGUCCUCCUGGUAAAAUGUAUGAUUUAUUAGAGAAGCAUAUUCACACUUUAGACCUCAAAGUGUUGAAGGAAAUAAAAAAAAAAAAAAAAUUAUCCAAUAAAUUUUUUAAAUUAAAUUUUAAAUUACUUUUUUCUUUUAAAUAUCUGUUUUUUGAUCACAAAAAUAACUGAUUUAAAUUAUUUAGUGACAUGUUAUUUGUCAUGCUUAGCUUUCUGAUUGGCUGCUGGACACUAAUGCAAAAACAAGAAGUCUGGAUAUGAAACAAAGUUUGAUGUUUGAUUAAUAUAAAAUGUUACAUAUUUUCUAAUAAUCCUAAGAAGAGGAUUGUGGUGGUUUAUUAUCAGGUAACAUAUUAUGACUUUAUCAAUCUGAUAUUUAUAUCAUAAUACAUUACCUGACACUAAAAAAACUCAUGGCCAGUUAAAAUAAUGUAUGUUUUGAUUAAAGAAGAAAUAAAAUUAAGAUCAUACAUGAAUAAGCCUGUUCAAGCAAUAAGUCAUGAAAAAUAAUGGCAGCAACAGAGCUAUAUUAAUGAUUAAUUCAUGGCGCUAGCACUCAUCAAUUAUCAGCCAUUGGAGGAGACGUGGGGCGCUGCCGCAACAAGCCCCGCCUACUUUGGAGCUGCUACAUAUGCAGCGUUUUUGGGAAAUUGUAGUCUGUGAUUUUACAUGAAAGUUAUAGAUUUACAAACUUUUUAUGAUGUUGUGAGAGCUCUGGUGGAGCCAGGUGCACACUGUCAGAAAUAAACAGAAACAGGACAGCCUUCGUCUUCUUUGUGGCUUUCACCAGUAGCAACAGCCGGCUGGCCAUCACGGGAAAAAAAAUUCCACUGCAGUUUUUCGAGCUACUUCCACUUUGAUAUGGCCGAAAAACCAUCUCUUCCUAGCACAACAAAUUUUUUAUCGAAAGACGUGAGUUUUUUCAAAAUUUGUAUGUUUCCAUUAAGCUAACUUAUUUUAGCACUUUCUGCUAGCAGUAAUUCUAUGGUAAAUGGAAAUGCAGCAAGUGGCAGAGAAGAUGAGGAAAAAAGAACAGGCCUUUAUCCAUCUCAGCAUCACCCUCGUUCCAAUUUCUACUCGUCUGCAGAAAGCAAGCACAUGCAGGCAUGCUAAUAACACAGAUUAGAGAGUACAAACCAGCCAAAACCCCAUCUCCAAACUCUAACCCACACACGCACGAAUACACACACUCACCGUCAGCACACCUACAUCGAUGUAUUGGACACAUCUAGCCAUUUAACAGGAUGUCUACGGUCAGACCUGACGGUGUGAUUCUGAAGAAGCGACUGGCACCGUUAAAUAUCUAAUUCCCCUUCACGUCUAGAUGAAAAUAAGGUGCAGAGCUGAUUAGAUUGCUGCCUGCUGUGCCAGCCUUCGGGUUUGUGCUGUGUUCAUUACCAGCCCCGACCUCCAAACCCCCGGCCCCCAACCAAUCCUAUCUCCAUCCAUGCUCACCUGCCAGCUGCAAAUAGUCUCUGAUAGAAAAGCAAUUCUGACACACUUGAGAGUUACGGUCGAUGCCUGAGGAGUGAUGACAUUAAGUCAAGUAUGAUUUAUUUAGAAAUUGCCACGCUGUCAGGCUCGAGUGGCUGUGAGAAAUUACUGAAAUUUAGAACUUCAAUUCCAAAGAGUUUUAGUAGAGGUGCUGUCAGUGGAUGCAGAAAGUGACUCAGAUAUAUUACAAUUAGGACAAAAGUUCGACUUUUUGUCCUUCGAGGUUUUGCUUUGAAAAUUUCUCAUGAAAUAUUUGCAAUCUAGAAAGUUUUGUGGAUGUUUGAGAAGUUUAGGUGAAAUGUGAAAAGUACUUUUGGUGGAGACGCAUUAUGUUGUGCUUUAGAUUACAAUAAUGUUAAUCUAACAUUAUUGUUAGAUUAACAUAAUGUUAAGUUAUAUUUAGUUACAUUUCAAUCCGUGUUUCAGGAACUAGCGAUCAUUCAUGGAACUUCUGUAAACAUGCAGCACUAGCAAUACAGUUAAUGCUACAUGUUUAGCAUUGAGGCGCUAGUUUAGGCUUGAAUAGCUUCACCAAUAUGCUAACUCCUUUUAGCAUAGCUUGAACACAACUUAAACCUUUUUCCAGCAUCCAAUCAGAUCGUUUCUUUAGAUGCAAAAAACAAAAACAAUCUGUAGUGCCUUUGUCGUAGUAGUUUGUUGCUUGUCCGUCAGACUUAACGUUGUACCAGAAACAUAUGUAUACAAAAGUUUUUACAUGGAAAAAAAAAUGCUAUUAAAAUUUUUGACAUGUAAUAAUCAAUGUAAUCAAUUAAUCAAUAUUGCAGCAUUUUGUAUAGACAAAGUAAUUACAGUUCAUAUUUAUUAAUGAUAAACAAUCUUGGAGACCAGAGUUUGAUUGCGUAUUGAGGCAAAUGGACCAGUUUGACUAAAGCGGAUUUAACAAGGCUGAUGUGACUCACCUAAUACAUUUAUUUCAAUUCAGCAUAAAUGACAAACCAGAAUAAGUAGAAAUACCACGUAAAGCAAAACUUUAGGGAAAAAAAUAAAUGUUCUUUGUGACUAUUUAUCUAAAUAUUUUAAGAAAAUACAGAAUUACAAACAAUAGAAUCUGACACCCAGCAGUAUAAGUAAACAAGUGAAACAAGGAGGCAACUGAGUGACAGUGAGGUUUAACUUUGUAGAACAUUUGGUUGGAUAGUCAUUCACAACUUACAUCUUAUAAAUAUUACAACUGACAUUAUGUUCAUCAUUAGCUGGAUGAUUGUCACCAUGGGGAUUACGUCUGGAAAAAAAUUAGGAGAAUGAGAAACAUAGACAAUAUAUUUAUAUAAAAACUGACACUAACUCUGCUCUAAAAAAGCCCCAUAAAGUAAAGAAAAUAUUCAUUUAAAAUAUCCAGCUCGUGUCUGUUGCAGUUUUCGAACAUAUCCUGCAGCCUUCGGUUGUAGUGGGCUGAAGGUUAAAGAAGAUGCUGAGUGAGAUUGGAACUUUAUACCAUCACCUUUAAGGGAGUUCUCGGAAAUACUGAACAACUUGCACAACCGCUCUGGGCUACGGGAACUUAUUUCACACAGCUGCUGAUCCAGGAUUUUAAACUAAGUAAACUAUGAGUAGUGUGGAUUAAGCUGCUUUUUUUUAAUUGUGCGAGGAAAACUUUUACACAUUGCCCAGAGGGCUGGAACAAAGGUUAAGUGUCCCACACAGCUGGUUCCAAACCACGAUCAGCCAGAAGCGAUAAAUUGAUUCUUCGCUCUUUUUUUCUCCUUCGCUUUCCUGCUUCACCUCACAUUUUCCUCUCACUCUUUUUUUUUACUCACUCAUUUUUCUCACACUUCUGCCAGAACUGGUCAAUACUGGAGCGGCUAUCGAGCAGCGGCUAAAUGAGACUUUGAUUCCCCCUGAGGUGAAUGGUGGGGGGUUAUUCCCUGGAACCAUGGGGUCCAGUCCUUCAUCAGGGACCUCUUCACUCAUUGAUGAAGCGUGCGAUUUAAACUCCAUUUGAUUUAGCCGUGCUUAAGGACAAUACUUUUCAUUAGCGGGUGAUAACAUUCAUCAAGAGCCAUCCAACAUGGCCGCUAAUGAGCCGAUCUGCUCUUGAACGUUUUGUUUCGUCUAGGAAACAGUGACGACGCGAAGACAGCGCUGGCGCUUUUUCAGUCAACUCUCUAAGCUUCCCGCUUCAUCUCCAACACGACCGUUUCUUGUAAAUGUAUUUAUGCCGAGGCUGACAAACGAUUAAAGUUAUUAAUCUGAUUGAUCACAGGGUUGCUGUGAACUAAUCACGAUUAAUUAGUUGUUAAAAAAAUUACGAGUUAAUGAGUUCUAAAUGUUUUUAUUAGGAUUGAUUAAAACAGGACGUAACACACAGUACACGGGAUUAUUUCUCAUGUCGUUGUUGCUUUUGUGUUUAUCAUUGUUCAUCUGUUUUUAUUUGUUCUCCGCAGCAUGUGUGUUACUUCUCUCGUGAAUGUAAAAUGAUGCAUUCAGUUGUUGUUGGCAACAGCAAUUGUCAACAAUUGUUGAGGUUCUGCCUGUUGCGCUCACAGCGCCGAUACUCACAGUGCGCUCCUGUCCGCUCUCCAGCUGUUUUCACAGAUUACUUUUGUAAGAAAAGGGAAAUUAGUCCGAUAGAAAACCAGCUACGGAAAAUAAAGGAAAUUAUGUUAAAACUCUGCAGCACAGGUGACGUCCAAAAAUACAGAAACCUGUGCAAUUAAUUGCUCAUUGAAAAAAAUGUAACCACACUAAAAUAACGUGAAGUAAUACACAAAUUUUGACAGCCCUAAUUCGUGUCACAUUAGAGACACAAACUACAAAGUGUUUUAUUUGGAGUGGUAUGUGACAGACCAACAGGAACAACAACAUAGUGGUAAUGUGAAUGAAAAUUAAGCACAUAGUAUUUAUUUGUAUGGCUUUAAUUUUGGUCAGAUGCCCGUUCACUCUGACACCACUGAAUAAAACAUAUAAUAUAGUUUUUCUGUCUUAAAUUUCAUUCAAGGUGGCACUAAGAAGGUGGUAAAAAGUCUCUAAAUAUGACUUGUGAUUGACUGGUUUUCAGCUCCGAUCUGGUCACAUCUAGUAGGUGAAAAAGAAUAGGAGGUCAAAAACAGGUAAGGAAAAAAUAAUAAACACAUUUUUCUUUGACUUACCUUCUUUUUUGACUUUGUCCCAGAGUUGAGCUGAAAACCCAACCACUCAUUUAAAUCUGAGAAAUGACGCCCACUGAACUCAUAGCAUGAGUACAACGUUUUGUAAAAAGCACAAGGAAGGGUGGAGGGAGUCAUACUGCAUCCAUGAGCCAGUGAAUAAAUGGAAAUGGUUUUUGGCAGGUAUGUGACGCCUCAGAAAACUGCUACCACAUAUCACAGUGAAUACACAAACCCUAUGUAGAAGCAUAAUGGUGGUAGCGUAAUGCUGAGGGGAUGAUUCCCCACGUAACGUCCAGCAAGAACAGGGAACAUGACAAACUGGGCAGGAAGAUGGACGGAACUAAAGAUGUCACAAUCUUUAAAUGACAAAAAACAGUCGUUAGAAUGAAUGGGUUGACCUUUACCAGUGCGCGCCAUCUUUUGCUGGUCUAUCACAUUAAAGUCCCAGAGAAACACCACAAAGUUUGAAACACAAUAUGACAAAGUUUGAAAAGCAUUUUUCUCAAUUAGGAGAUCUCUUGAACCAACAGAGUUUUUCUCUUCUUUGCUUGCAGAGCCAUCGGGAACAAACGCUAAAUGUUUGUUUUCCGCCGUCUGGCCUUGAAAACCGUCUCUCUGUGAGCGUUCCCAUUUACUCUGAAAAGAUUCUUUUGCAGUUUUUUUCACCCCAGUUUUGUACACACAUCCAAAAACACACACCACAGUAAAAGUGUUGCGCUCUCUCCCGUUUGUGGAGUUCUUAUAUUAUUCAUAUCUCAGGGCCUUUUGCUGUGGGAAACAAGCAAAGCUGAGAUGGAACAAGCAAGAAAAAAAAACAAAACAAGAAGGGACCUUUUGACAGAGCAACAUUGAUGAACAGCCCCGACAUAGCGAGAUACAUAAACAUGAGGUCAGAGAAGAUCGCUGAGGGAGAUGGAGGUGGAGAACAGAGCGAGCAACGGGAGAAAAUGUGAGCAAGAGAGAGAGAGACGAAGAACAGCGAAGAGGCAGAAAUAGAGCUUUAGAAAACGCUCUGUCGCUGACAAGCUCACGCUUUACUCACGAAACCCACCAAUCAGCCCUUUGGGACAGAUCAACCUGUGUGGUAUUUUGUGUGUGUGUGUGUUUGUGAUGGAACACACACAUAUAAUGGGAAACACCGCCUGGCGCGGCAGAGAGCAUCUUUGAAAUGCAGAACGCAUCAAGAGUCCUGGACAGCUCCGCUUUGCAGCAAAGCCUCAUUACAGAGACAGCAGCCUUAAAGCCGGACGAUACACACACACGCGCACCCGCCACUGAAUGUACACACACUCCUAAACACACGCAGAAACAUGCUAAUGCGGCCUUCUGCAUUUUUUGCAAAUCAAAUUGAAAUCUCAGCAGAGCAGAAAUGCUGUGAAACUUCUCCUUCCUCUAAUCCUUUCUGCCGUUUUCACUCCUUGUUCUCCAUACAAAUAAAGUUUCAUUUACCCCCCCCACUCCCUCCACCUCGCCACUAAUAUUGUAUUCAUGUAUAUUUGAUUGUGUAAACUCUGUGGAGAUUGGCUGCGCUGUAUCUGCUGUGCCUUUUUGAAAAUGCAUCUAUGAAUAAAUAAUGUCUCUCCGUUGAUUGAAAAAGCCAUAUUGCCAGAAAGCCAUGAUGAAACGAUAAUGUAAUAUCUGUCCUCGUCCUGAUUAAAGCCAAGCUUUCUCCUUCU
Molecule: long non-coding RNA, 12200 nt
Organism: Xiphophorus maculatus (southern platyfish)
Lineage: Eukaryota; Metazoa; Chordata; Actinopteri; Cyprinodontiformes; Poeciliidae
Exons: 3
Source: RefSeq, a predicted model, not a curated record